UACGAAGGGUGCAAGCGUUACUCGGAAUUACUGGGCGUAAAGCGUGCGUAGGCGGUGCGUUAAGUCUGUCGUGAAAUCCCCGGGCUCAACCUGGGAAUGGCGAUGGAUACUGGCGCGCUAGAGUAAGGUAGAGGAGAGUGGAAUUCCUGGUGUAGCAGUGAAAUGCGUAGAGAUCGGGAGGAACAUCAGUUGCGAAGGCGGCUCUCUGGACCAUCACUGACACUGAGGCACGAAAGCGUGGGGAGCAAACAGG
RNAcentral lists this ribosomal RNA (253 nucleotides) under uncultured bacterium. RNAcentral describes it as "partial 16S ribosomal RNA". It matches the Rfam family "Bacterial small subunit ribosomal RNA", at positions 524 to 776 of the family's 1533-position model. The record is from RNAcentral.